UUUAACAUUAUCAUUGACGUUUAUUACAAUUGGAUAUAAAAUGGUGCAUAAUGGCACAGGAAACAGGUUCUAUUUUUUUUCGCCCGAUGCAACGCACGGGCAUGUGUACUAGUAAUCUCCAAACGAAAUAUCUGUCCAGGCUGCGACCAAAAAAGCUUUCUUUCAAUCGUGUUGUCUACAAACGGGAUGUACCGAAACAAAUCAGAACUACCAUAUCUCUUGGUUUCUUAUUAAAAAAAAGUCUCCAAAUGAAAUAUCUGUCCAGGCUGCGUCCAAAAAAAAUUCCUUUCAAUCGUGCAGAUGAGAGAAACUCACGCAUCCAUAUAAGACCUUCCCCACGACCUGAAAGGAUCAUUGUCCUCUAGAUUUUAGAGUACAACUUCUGCAUCAUCUUCCUCCCACAUCGUCUUCCUCCAGCGACCAAAACUUCGACUCCAGAAUUAUCUUCCUCCAGCAAACACAAGAUAGUUCUGUCGAGCAAAUGGGAAUUGUCUUCCUCCAGCGGCCACAAGAUAGUUCCGUCAAGCAAACGGUCUACAACAAGUAAGUUCCAUCUGCACGAAUUAUAGAUCAUACCUAUUAAUGGAUCAAUAAUGGUUCAAUUAUACUCUAGGCAGUCCUGAUCUAAAACAUUUGCCAUUACCUCCGAAAUACUAUACAAGUCCAGAAUCAUGCUACAACUAUAACAUGUCCAAGUGGGAUUACUUGCUGUGAUAUAGAGAAGCAUAGAUGGUGCAUAAGGUGUUGUCCAUAUUAUAGAUUAUACCUAUUAUUAUAGAUCAGAUCUAUUAAUGGAUCAAUAAUACGUAAUUCAUACUGUAGGUAGUGCUAAUAUAAAAAGGUUUCACAUGUUAGCUCACAAGUUACAUCACGUACAAACAGAUACAGAGAAACAUACAUAGAUGGUUUCCAUAUUUGAUCAACCUCAGAUGUCAUAGUGGGCUUCUGUCGUCAUGGCAUCAGCUCCAUCUGAAACAUAAAUUAAGACGAAUUGUCAAUAAAAUUGUGUUGAUUCAUCUACUUUUAUUUCAUAGUCUUCUACAUAAGGUUAAUGCCAUGGCUGUUAUACUAUAGAAGCUUACAGAAAUAAAUGGGAUUGCUUGCAUGUCAUUAUAUUACUUACUUUACUAAUCAACACUCAGAUGUCAUAGUGGGCUUCUGUCGUCAUGGCAUCAGCUCCAUCUGAAACAUAAAUUAAGACGAAUUGUCAAUAAAAUUGUGUUGAUUCAUCUACUUUUAUUUCAUAGUCUUCUACAUAAGGUUAAUGCCAUGGCUGUUAUACUAUAGAAGCUUACAGAAAUAAAUGGGAUUGCUUGCAUGUCAUUAUAUUACUUACUUUACUAAUCAACAUUCUGUUCUUAUAUUUAAAGGGCCUCAAAGAUUAUGGCAUAUACAACGUUGAAUGCAUUGACUACACGAAACGAGACAUGGACAAUCAAAGUCAAAGUUUUAAGACUUUGGGACGUGAUUAACUUAUCAACUAAUGAGCUCAUUAGCACUGAUAUGAUUUUAUUGGACAAAAAGGUGCAAGUAUUACAUAUAUAAUGUCUCUUCAAUUUAUCCUUUCCAAAGUUUGCUGAUCUUUUCUUUCUAUGUAGGGCCAUGCGAUCCAUGCUUCUAUUGGGAGCAAACUGGUCAAUAAAUUUAAAUCAAAAAUUAAAGAGGACUUCAUAUACAUAAUUAAGACCUUCAAAGUCUCGGAGUAUGAAAAAUACCGACCAUUGAAGAACAAUCUCAAAAUCAGUUUUGUUUAUGAUACAACAGUGAAGGAAGUGGAUGAAGGAAAAUCCAAGUUUUUGGAUCACAACUUCGAUUGGAUUGGAUUGCUUACUGCAAUGAAACCAAUAGAGCAAGUACAAAAAAAUAAAGGGACGGGCAUGGCGCAAACUUCAAACAUCCGUGAGAUUGAAAUCCUUUUACUAGAGUAAGUGAUUAUAUUACUAUAGAUUUUUUAAAAUUGCAUAGAUGAUUUUAUAUCACUUUUUCAUGAUUAAAUCCAUGCAGAGAUGAAACGAUCCGGAUCACGCUAUGGGGGAUAUUUUAGCAAAUACGGUGAAUGAAAGUCUUUUGCACAAACAAAUAAUAGUGAUUGUCACGUCAAAUUUGGUCAGAAAAUUCAGUGUUGAGAACUACAAUCUUUUUGUGAAAACUUAAAUCCAAAUUACUGACAAUUUGUUACCAGGGCUAUCACUACGCACAACAAAUGCAUCUAAAGUCUUCCUCAACCCUGAAAUUCCAGAAGCAGGCCAAAUUAUUGAGAGGUAUGGUAUAUAAUAAUGCAAUUAUGUAUGUCUUUGAAGUUACAAGUUUAUGUGCUUAUGUUGUGACCUAUUAUAGGUAUUGUGAAAGAGAUGUUAUUCCAACAAUGAUUCAAAUCGACGAAAGCACCCAAGGAACGAUUGAAGAGCAAAUGUUGUACAACAGAAAAACAUUGAGGGAAAUUAUAGAACUGCGAUAUGCUGACGUUAAAAGAAAGGUUUCCCUCUAACCUUGAUCAUCAUACUGUACCUUAUUUAUUGUACAUUAUUAUGUAAUAAUCUCAUAUAUUUUCUCUUUAAUAGGAAUUUGUAUGCACAACAAAAGCAACAAUUGAUGAUAUUAUAACAGAUAAAGGCUGGUGGUACAUGGCAUGCAAACUUUGCUUUUGUGCUACAAAAAAGGAACAAGAUAACUAUAUUUGCACUUCCUGUCAUGAAGUAGCUCAAAAUCCAGACAUGCGGUGAGCAUGUUGUGCACUAGAUUGUCUUCGGUUCCAUUUGUUUUAAUAAUAUACCAGUAAUAACUUGACAACAUCAUAUUAGGUACCUACUUAAACUGAAGGUACACGAUGGCACGGCAACAACAACUUUCGUGAUGUUUAAUGAGGUAGCAAAGAGUCUUUUAGGCAACAUAUCUGCAUCGACCCUAUUAGAGCAGGAGGGAUUCAACAACACAAUACCAGAUGUUAUUCAGAACCUUUAUGGCAGAACACUCAUAUUUCGACUGAAGUUAAAUUCAAAGAAUCUAGAAGAGUGUAUGGAAAAUUUUAAAGUGAGCUACACUUUUGAAGUUGAUGAAAAACUUGAGAUGGAAUAUUCAAAUGAAAUGAUUGAAGAGGUAUGCACAUGCACAUUUGAGUAUAACAAGGUGUUCCCAGUAAUUAAUGAUUUUGCUCUCACAAGUGUGCAUUUUUUGUUUUAAAAUGUUAAAAAAUAAUUUUCAUUCUUAUAGGUGAACCACUCCUCCAAGAAUGCAACGACUGAUGAGAAGAAGGAUAUGUGCAGAAAGGAAACCUCAGUAUCAUCCAACAAAAAGCAACAACAGAGGAUACAGAAGUCUAGCAAAAGAUAUGUAAAAGAUGGGAGACCGGUUGCUUCCAGAACAGUUGUUAAAAUUGAAGCUCCUGACGAUGAGGUAACAAAUUGAAAACAUUAUCUCCCUGUAUAUGCAUUGAUAAUUGAUUACAGCCUAUUUAUUUAUGACAUAAAAACGCACAUGAAGAGCUAAAAACGUUUUUGCAGAAGAUAAAAGGAGAGACAAAACAAAAGAGAUGUAAACAGGAUUUUAAAAGAAAGGCUUCGCGAAAUAAAACAAAGGUACUUACAGAAAAAUUCGAUAGUGAGGUAUUCUUUGAAAUUACUUUACUAUUUUAUGACAUCGCCGAAAAAACAGGAAAAUGUAUUUGAAAAGGAGGUAGCAAACAUUCAAGCUACAAGUUCAGAUAUAAUUACCAUAGGAGAUGAUUCAGAUAAAGACCGCACACAAAACAAGACAGAUGUCAGAAGGCCUACCAACAAGAAACUCAGAAGAGUUAUGAACAAAAACAAAUUCAAUAGUGACGUGAAAUGUACAUACUUUUUCUUUCUGUAUUGUUUUCAAGAUAAACACAAAGUACUAUUGUGUUCUAACUCGUGAUAUUUUAUGUAUAGGAGGAGGAGGAAAAUGAUGAACCGCAAGGGAGUAUAAAACAGACUAAAGGAAAACUAUCGGUGAUUACUGUAAUACUUCUAAAUGGGUGUUGGCCUGGACGCUCGGCAGAGUAGAAAUCGUGUACAUCAUCGUCCGAACCACGCCAUUGGUCGCUUCUCCAUCUUCAUUUGCUGUUUUGGACAAGCUUAAUUCAACGACACACACCGCAUGCUGACGCACAAGAUGCCCUGGUAAAGUAUACAUUAUGACCUAAGAGGUUAUGGAUUGGUAAUAGUAGUAUGUAUUAGAGAGAGAGAGAGAGAGAGAGAGAGAGAUGGUGCAUGUUACGUUGGUUUCUAGGGAAACUGUAAGGAACUGAUGUGACUCGACCUAAACAUGUGGGCCAAAAAUAAACCCAUGAAACAACACUUCCACGCUGUCCAGGAUGGCCCAAUUUAAAGGCACGUUGGAUUAGAGUCCAGUAUGUAAACGCAUGUAACAAGAAUACCUUAAGAGAUCGUACAAAACUAGGUUAUAGAAAGAAAGGACAUGCCUAUAUAAACAACUGCCGUGGCACAAAUAGACCUAAAACUCAAUCUCUUCUCAGGAGCACCAACAAAAUCGACAGAACAUACGCUUUCAAUUCAAGGUACGACAACAGUCAAACAACUUCUAAAUUCAGGUAUAGUUCUUCUCCCUCUCUCUUAAUCCUCAGUUACAAUCUUAUUCUAGCGUGAUACUCUACUAUAUUUUGGGGUUGUGUGGCGGCUCCCAUAGGGCUCAAGUCCAUUAAGAAGCACAGGGUACUGCAGGGAAUUCACUUGCAGUUUAUAGAUCAGAUGAGGGUUCCCAUAAUAUUUAGUAUCACUACCUCAUUAAAUUUGUCCAAAAAGAAAACCUCAUUAAUCAGGUAUAGAUUGCUUCGGUCAGCUUGUACCACAAAGAGAUUGGAACAUAAAAUCCUUUUAUCAGUAAAAAUUUCUGCAAAAUCACUGGUCUUGAAAAGUGAUCUCCUUUAAUUAUACGACCACAAAUAUAUUUUAUAAGUUCAUUUAAGGUAAUAAAAAUAUUGAAUCUUCAUAAACUUAUAAAAUUAUUUUAUAACUUGAGUGUUAUUUCAAGUGCCGGGGCAAUGUACUCCCCUGUACAACAAGCACAUUAAUCUUAAUCACCGUCCAUCGGCCACCAGACCACGAUUUGUCUGUAACAAUAUUAUAAUAUCGUUCACUUUGGUUUACAUUUGAAAUCUCCAUUAUGCAGGAACACAACAUGAAAAGAAAAGGUGGGCCACAUAGCAAGGAAUGUGAGAAACCUGCCAAGGUGGUUAAAACAAAUCAAAUAUGCACUCCAACAAGGUGAUCCAUUACUAAUCUUGAAUAUUUUAUAUGUGAAAUCCCACUAAUAUUUUAAAAAACAAAGCAAUUCCAGUUACGCACUCUGAGGUUCCUAAUUGGUUGUAGCUUUCACGAGAAAAACUAUAUUUUAAUUUUUAAUCUUAUUGAUGCAAAUCCAGACAAUCAGCAAAAAUCGCAAGAUUGGAAAGGGUAAUGAAACUUCAAGAGAAUAAAAACAGACGAUCUUCAAUCAUACAUGGAGGUCUGCCAGAUUCCGCGAACAUACACAAAGGACAACCUUUGCUCCACGUGAAGUAAGAAAAUCUUCACGAAGUUUCUCUCUUAUGCAUCUUAUCAUCCAUUUGGUUCAAUUAUAUUUCUCAAUUCAAAUGCUAAACUUUAACAUUAAUGAUGCAUGGCUGGUAUUACAUCAUACAGGAAGCAACUGUUAGAGUUAUAAUAUAAGUCAUGUACCCCUUUGUAUUUAUCCCAUUGUAUAAGGGGUUUCCUGCAUAUGUUCCACACCUGUACAUGUAUAUAUAUCGGCCUAUGGCCUCAUGGGAAUACAGGUUGCAUAUUUCCUAACAUGGUAUUAGAGCCCUAUGGUUUUUUUUCGCACACCGCAACUCGUGCUCUUCUGAUCCCAUCUCUUGCUGCCGCUAUCCUUCGUCGGCCGGCCGUCGUUGUUCCUCUCACCCACACACUCACGUGCUGUGCUCCCUCCCUCUCUCGUCGCUGCUUUUCCGUGCCUCAAACCGCUGCCGCCGUCCAGAUCGCCCCAACCCAUCUCGCUGCAGAUCGACGCCGCUUGGAUUGGGGCGGGCCCCUGCGCCGCCGUCCGCCACUUGCCCGCCUCCGUCGCUGUCCGGCAGCCGUCCUCUCGCCAGCCCGCCGUGUAGCGCGUGCAGGAAGUCAGCCGCCGCUGCGAUCGGUUCGUGGCCUCUUCGUGCGUUGACCUGGACAUCGUUCCUUUGGGCCACGCCUUGGACGAUUUUUGGGCCUGGCUGGCUGUUGGCCUGCUGCCUUGGGCAUCUGCUGUAACUCCUCACGCCACGUCGUUCUGGUGGCUUGGCUAGCUUGUGCUUGUCCACUUGCGGCUGCUGCACCAUCUUCCUCCCGUGCAGGCCCGUGACGUGGUGCAUCAGCCUCCUCCACUUGUUGUCAUCUGAUCUGCUCCGCCGCCGCCUACUGGUCCCGAUCUGAUUUGCUCGGCCGCUCUGUUGGCUGUUUGACUGGUUGCCUUCUGUAAAAAAAAAAAGAAAAAAAAAAGCAUAAUGUUGUCGGUGCUUGGUGCUCGUCCGUAUGUGCUAUCGUCCCCUGUGGCAACUCUCGCACGUGGUGAUUGUCGCUCUACAUCGACUCCUCCUGCGACUUUCAUCGGUGAUUAUCGUUCUACACCGGCUCCUCUCACGGCCCCCAUCGGAUGUGUUGAUGCAUAUGACUCUAUUGACCCGCGUCUUCCUUUGGCGCUUGGGGCUUGUCUGCAUGUGCCCUCGUCUCCUUCACCGGCCUCUACGGAUGAUGUUGGUUAUGCUAUGUCGCCUCCUCUGGCGGCUUCCACAGGUGGUGGUGGGCCUGGUGGCCGCUCCUCUCCCAGUGCUACUGCGUCGUCUACUUCAGCUAUGUACUUCACCGAGCAGGAGAUUGUGGGACUUCGUGGUUUGCUGACCGCCUCCGGCUCUUCAUUGCCGGGUGCAUCUACGUCGACCUCUUCAGUUGAGCUCCUGACUGAGCAGGAGAUUACGCGCCUUCGGUGCUUGCUCGCUGCAUGCUCUGGUUCUUCACCGACGAGUUCUGCUGGUUCUGCUACUGACUCCUCUGGCAUUGUGAGACCACCUUCAACACAGUCAGGUACAUCUCCAUGGAUUCUUGAUACUGGAGCAUCUUUUCAUAUGACUCAUGAUUCAUCCACCUUGUCUUCUAUUCGUGCUCUUGAUUCUCCUAUUCAUGUUCUUACUGCUGAUGGUACCUCCCUCCCGUUCGAGUGCUGAGGCUGAGUUGCGAGCCAUGGCUCUUUUGACGGCAGAGGUGACUUGGUUACGGUGGUUACUUCAGGAUUUUGGUGUUUCUGUCACUACACCGACUCUCUACACUGACUCUGCUCUUAUCUGACAGUACAGGUGCUAUUAGCAUUGCGCGCGAUCCUGUGAAGCAUGAGCUCACCAAGCAUAUUGGUGUUGAUGCUUUCUAUGUGCGCGCUGGUGUGCAGGAUCAGGUUAUUGCUCUUCAGUAUGUGCCUUCCGAGUUACAGUUGGCGGAUUUCCUGACGAAGGCCCAGACUAGAGCACAACAUGGCUUUUAUCUCUCCAAACUCAGUGUUGUUCAUCCACCAUGAGUUUGAGGGGGGGUGUUAAGAGUUAUAAUAUAAGUCAUGUACCUCUUUGUAUUUAUCCCGUUGUAUAAGGGGUUUCCUGCAUAUGUUCCACACCUGUACAUGUAUAUAUAUCGGCCUAUGGCCUCAUGGGAAUACAAGUUGCAUAUUUCCUAACAGCAACAUUAUGUACCUUUCUUAUGCUAUCCACAUCUACUCUGCUAUCUAUGUGCUCAAAUCUUCAAGUGCGGCUAAUUUAGAAUGGUCCACCAAAUCUCAAAAAAAAAAUACACAUAACAAUGAACUAUAGCCAAUGCAAAAAAAAAUGUUAAAUUAACACAAGGAGUAAUAAGUUCAUUCUGCCAGACAAAAAAUAAUCUCUUAAUUCUACUAAUUAGUAUUUAUGUUUAUGCAGGGCAAGUAACUCAAGAGAAAAGGCAAAAGAGGCAAGACGACAUAGGAAAAGAAUAAUGCAAGCCAAGAAGCUUGCACAAAUAUCGACAAAAGAAGGAGAAAUGAUUGGCCAGGCUGGUAAUACUAUGAGGUAACGAACAAGAAAUUACAAUCAGGAUCUAAAAUUUGGAGAUUCGUGAAUCUGAUAAUUUCUGCUAUGUGCGUGUACAACUCAAAAGGUAAUAAAAUAUCUACUACAUCAAAAUCGGUGAGAAAGAAACAAAGACAACAUUUGUAAGUUCUAUCAAGUUUUUAUACUAUCAACAACACCAGACAUUAAUAAUGUUUCAAUUUAUGCUAAAUCCAAAACUUUAACAGGCAAUCAGAGAGGACUGAUAUGGAAAUUUGGAACUUCGGAAAACCCAAAUGCAAGUGUGAAUGAUGCGGUGCAAUUUUCUGGUAUGAAGAAAGAACUUCAGGUAGAGCGAAAAGCAUGCCAUCUUUUGGACUAUGCUGCCAACAUGGCAAGGUUGAGUUGCCACCAUUAAGAGAGCCACCGACUUACCUAGUGAAAUUGCUAAGGAAAGACAACGGAAAGACGUCAAAAAACUGCUUGCAAAAUAUCAGAUUGUACAACUCCAUGUUCGCUUUCACAACAAUGGGAGGAAAAGUAGACAAAGAAAUAAACAAUGGCAGUGGGCCAUAUGUUUUUAGAAUGAAUGGGCAGAACUACCACAGAAUAGGUACUCUAUUGCCUGAAGGUGAAGAUAAACCACGUUGGGCACAACUGUACAUCUAUGAUAAUGAAAAUGAGGUAAGAAACAGGAUUAAUGCUUCGACAAGGGAAGAUAAAAGGGAGUCAAUAGAUCCUCACAUCGUAGAGGGCCUUAAAAAUAUGCUUGAUAGAGAUAACAUACUUGCAAAAACUUUCAGAAUGGCAAGGGACAGAUUCGAAGAAGGUGACUAUCAAAACGUGAGAUUAAAAGUAAUCAAUAAGCGACGCUCAGAUGGAAGACGAAGUGACAUGCCAUCUGCAAGUGAAGUUGCAGCCUUGAUUGUCAAUGAUGCCACGGAAAGUAGAAAAGGACGGGAUAUCAUUGUUGAGUACAAAAACAUGAAGCCAAGAAGAAUAUCAGAGAACCAUCCAAAAUUCAUGGCUAUGCAGUAUCCACUAUUGUUCCCAUAUGGAGAAGAUGGGUACAGACAAAAUAUACCUUACAUAUUAAAACAAGGUGCAAAAUGUAAGAGAAAGCAUGUAACAAUGUUGGAAUACUAUGCAUAUCGUCUACAACAACGUACUAACCAAUCGAUGCACUUGCUGGUGUGUGAAAAGCUUACAUUGCAGUUCAUUGUGGAUGCCCUUGCAUGCAUUUUGCAGUAGACUGGACUGGGUAAAAAAUAAUCAAGGAAACCUACGAACGGAAUUAUAUGCUGGCUUACAGGAUGCAAUAGAAAGAGGAGAUACAAGGGCUGACCAAGUAGGAAAAAGGAUACUGCUGCCAUCCACAGUCACAGAUAGCCCUAGAAGCACAAAACUUCCAAGAUGCUAUGGCAAUAUGUCGGUGGGCUGGAUACCCAGACCUAUUUGUGACAUUCACGUGCAACGCAGCAUGGCCGGAGAUUGAGGCUAUGCUACACAAAGUAGCCCAAACAGCAUACGAAAGGCCUGAUAUUGUUGAUCGAGUAUUCCACAUAAAACUCAAGGAGUUCAUGAGAGAUAUAAGAGAAAGGGAAUACUUCGGAAAAACACUCACAAGUAAUAUAUCAUACUGACUUUAUCAAACAUCUUAUUUAAUUGCCUGAACUAACUGUUAUUUUAUAAAAUUGCAGUUAUAUACACAAUAGAGUUUCAAAAAAGGGGCCUCCCACAUGCCCACAUAGUCAUAUUCCUCGACAAAAAGGAAAAGAAACACAAGUAUCCAGAGCCAUCAGAGGUAGAUAGAGUAACUUGCGCAGAGAUACCAGACAAGGAAAUUGACCCAGAAGGAUAUGCAGCUGUGGAAAACUACAUGAUGCACGGGCCAUGUGGUGCAGCAAACACAAAGUCACCAUGCAUGGUCGACAACAGAUGCAUAAGAAAGUUCCCCAAAAAAUACAACAACAAUACCACUGUCGAUGAAGAUGGAUACCCAGUAUAUAGAAGACGAGACGAUGGAAGAUUCAUACAGAAAGGGGGAAUAAAGUUGGAUAACAGAUACGUAGUCCCAUACAACAGAAAUCUGCUGGUGAAAUAUCAAGCACAUAUAAAUGUCGAGGUGUGCAACAGAUCUUUAUCCAUAAAAUACCUUUUUAAAUACAUAAAUAAAGGUGAUGACCAAGCAACAGCACUAAUAGAAAACGAUGAGAUAAAAAGGUACCUAGAAUGCACAUAUAUAACAGGGAAUGAUGCGUGUUGGAGAACAUUCCAAUUCAAAAUGCACUUCAGAGAUCCCUGCGUCGAAAGGUUGCCUUUCCACCUGGAAAAUGAGCAACAAGUAAUUUUCUCAGAUUCUACAGAUUUAACCAAGAUAGUCAGGAAAGAAAGAGUAGGAAUCACUAAAUUUACACAGUGGAUGGAGACAAACAAGAUGUGUGAAGAAGCCAGAGAAUUAACAUAUGCAGAAUUCCCAUCAAAAUGGGUGUGGAAAAAGAAAGAGACAAAGUGGAGCAAAAGGAAGAAAGGAAGAUCGGUUGGAAGUGUUAGAGUUAUAAUAUAAGUCAUGUAUACCCCUUUGUAUUUAUCCCUAGUAUAAGGGGUUUCCUGCAUAUGUACCACACCUGUACAUGUAUAUAUAUCGGCCUAUGGCCUCAUGGGAAUACAAGUUGCUUAUUCCUAACAUGGUAUUAGAGCUUUAGGUCUCUUUUUCGCACGCGCAACUCGUGCUACGAUCCCAUCCCCUCCGCCGCCGCGGUUUAUCUUCGCCUUGGCGUCGCUGCUGUGCCCCUCCAGCCGCCGUCGUCCGUCCCUCCCGUGGUCGUCCGCUCCUCCCGUGGUCGUCCGCCCCUCCCGGAGCCUCCUGCCCGGACUCGUACGCCCCUCACGCCAGGCGCCGUCGUCUGCCCCUCCCGCCAGGACUCGCCAGGCGCCGUCGUCCGCCCCUCCCGCCCGGACUCGUGCGCCCCUCACGCCAGGCGCCGUCGUCCUCCCCUCCCGCCUGGAUUCUUUUGACGGCAGAGGCGCUCGUGCAGCAGGGCCUCUGGCCGCCGUUCGCUCGUGGUCCUCUGGCCAGGUCCCUCUCCUCCCGAUCGUCUACUGCUGUCGUCUAAGGUCUGCUGCGCCGGAUCUCGCUCCCAGCCGUCGUCCUCGUCCGGCCUCUGCUAUUUUCGGAUCUUUGCAAAAAAAAAAAACAUGUCUGCUUCAUCAGGCUACGUUGCUGUCCCUCGCUGUCCGGUGAUCUUCGAUGGUACCAACUACACCGAGUUCGCUGGCUUCAUGCGCAUUCACAUGCGUGGCAUUCGUCUCUGGGAUGUUCUUUCUGGCGAGGUCUGCUGUCCGCCACGUCCGGUCCCUCCGGUGGCCCCUACUCCGCCGACUUCACUGGUUCUUCCUCCGGACGCUACUCAGGCCGCCAAGGAUGCGGCUAAGAUUGCUGAUGAGGCUGCUGAUCGUGCCUAUGAUGAGAGGGCUUUGGCUUAUGAGGAGGCUCUUCAGACGUAUCAUGGUGCUUUGUCUGUUUACACCCAGUGGCUUGAUGAUGAUGCUCGUGCUGCAGCUGUUCUCACUGCUAGUGUUCUGCCUCAGUUUUCUUCUGAGUUUCUGGGUCUUCCUACUGUCUUCCAGAUGUGGACCUGUCUUCGUCAGCGCUAUGAGCCCUCUGGUGAUGCCUUAUACCUUUCUGUGGUUCGUCAGGAGCAUGCUCUUCAGCAGGAUGACUCUACUGUUGAUGACUUUUAUGCACAGAGUUCUGCUAUCUGGCGCCAGCUUGAUUCUCUCCGCAGUGCUGGUUGUCGUACUUGCCCCUGCUGCCAGGCUGUCCAGGCCGAUUUGGAGUUUCAUCGCGUCUACGAGUUCCUGUCUCGGCUCCGUAAGGAGUUUGAGCCCCGGCGUGCUCAGUUGCUUGCUCGUGGCCGUAUUUCUCUCAUGGAGGCGCUUUCCGAGAUUCGUGCUGAGGAGACUCGCCUACGUGGUGCUGGUUUGCUGGAGGUUCCCUCUGUGCUCGCUACUCGGGUUUCUUCCACUCCGCCGGCUGCACCGCCCCAUUCUCGCUCGAGUGCUCCGCCGCUCUUGCCCACUCCUUCUGGAGGCUCAGGUCGGCCCCGUUCACAUUGUGACUACUGCAACAAUGAUGGUCAUAUUGAGUCCCAGUGCUACACAAAGCGGAAACACCUGCGCAAGGCGCGAUCAUCCUCCUCAGGGACUUCGUCAUCUCCCUCGCCAGCUUCAGCCAUUGCUUUGACCGAGCAGGAUAUUCUGAGACUUAAGCGUCUGCUCGCGGCUUCAGGUUCUUCCUCGACGGGUACUGCUGGUUCUGUGACUGAUGCUUCCCGCACUGAGCACCCGCCCUCUACACAGUCAGGUACAUCCCCAUGGGUUCUGGAUUCUGGAGCUUCUUUUCAUAUGUCUUCUCAUUCUUCCGCUUUGUCUUCUCUUCGUUCGCUGGAUUCUCCUGUUCAUGUCUUCACUGCUGAUGGUACUCCACUUUCUGUUGCUAGUAGAGGCCAUCUUUCUACUCCUUAUUCUGUUCCUGAUGUUGCUCAUGUUCCACGACUUACCAUGAAUCUGUUUUCUGCCGGUCAACUUACUGAUUCUGGUUGUCGUGUCAUCCUUGAUGUUGACUCUUGUUCUGUCCAGGAUCGUCGCACGCACACUCUGGUUGGGGCUGGCCCUCGCCGCCGUGAUUCUCAGGGUCUUUGGGAGUUGGACUGGCUUCAUGUUCCUUCCGCUGCCACCACCAUGCCAGUCCCUCCGCUGCUGUCGCCUCUAUUACUGGGUCCUUCAAGCAGUGGCAUCAUCGACUUGGUCAUCUGUGUGGUUCUCGGUUAUCGUCUUUAGUUCGUCGAGGUCUUCUGGGGUCUGUCUCAGGAGAUGUUUCUUUAGAGUGUCAGGGUUGUCGUCUUGGCAAGCAGAUUUAGUUACCAUAUUCCCAUAGUGAGUCAGUGUCUAAGCGUCCUUUCGAUUUAGUCCAUUCUGAUGUAUGGGGUCCGGCUCCUUUCGCUUCGAAAGUUGGCCAUAAAUACUAUAUUAUUUUCAUCGAUGAUUUUUCUCAUUACACAUGGCUUUAUUUCAUGACUUCACGUAGUGAGGUGUUGUCUAUUUAUAAGCGUUUUGCUGCCAUGGUUCAUACUCAGUUCUCUUCCCCCAUUCGUGUUUUUCGUGCUGACUCCGCUGGUGAGUAUAUCUCUAAGAUGUUGCGUGGUGUCCUUGCUGAGCAGGGUACUCUUGCCCAGUUCUCUUGUCCUGGUGCUCAUGCUCAGAAUGGCGUGUCUGAGCGCAAGCAUCGUCACCUUCUUGAGACGGCUCGUGCUAUGAUGAUCGCCGCCUCUCUUCCGCCUCAUUUUUGGGCCGAGGCUAUCUCCACUUCCGUCUAUCUCAUCAACCUUCAGCCAUCUGCUGCUUUGCAGGGUGGUGUUCCUUUUGAGCGUCUGUUUGAUCGUUCUCCCGAUUAUUCGAUGCUUCGCUUGUUUGGUUGUGUUUGCUAUGUUCUUCUUGCCCCUCGCGAACGCACCAAACUGACUGCUCAGUCUGUUGAGUGUGUCUUCUUAGGCUACAGUGAUGAGCAUAAGGGCUAUCGUUGUUGGGAUCCUGUCGGUCGUCGGAUGCGUAUCUCUCGAGACGUGACUUUUGAUGAGUCUCGUCCUUUUUACCCACGCCCAUCUUCCUCGGUCUUUUCCGUGGAGGAUAUCUUUUCUCACUUUUCCUGACUCCCCUAUCACUCCCGUCGCGCCUGUGCCUAUUCGUCCCACUCCCUCUGCUUCUUCACCCCUCGUCGAUUCACCGCCACCAUCUUCCCCGGUCUCCUCACCUAGCAUGUCACCGGAUUCUACACCUUCAUCUCCGGUGACUUCUUCGUCGCCACCCCCUGAUUCUACCUUGGCGAUUCCUCCUUCUCUUGUUCCAUCUCUUCCUCAGCAUUACACUCGUCGUUCACGGCCUGUGGAUGCUUCCUUGGAUGAGUCGUCCUCUUCCUCUCAGCCUACUUAUGGCUUGCGUUCUCGUCCUCGUCCGCCUAUUGAUCGCUUUGGAUUUCCCACCGCUGGUGCUGCUGUUCUUGAGCCGACUUCUUACCGUCAGGCUGUUGUUCAUCCUGAAUGGCAGUUUGCGAUGGCAGAGGAGAUUGCUGCUCUUGAACGCACUGGUACCUGGGAUCUUGUUUCUCUUCCUCCCGGAGUCCGUCCCAUCACUUGUAAGUGGGUCUACAAGGUUAAGACUCGCUCCGAUGGUUCUCUUGAGCGUCACAAAGCUCGUCUCGUGGCUCGUGGUUUUCAGCAGGAGCAUGGUCGUGAUUAUGACGAGACUUUUGCUCCUGUGGCCCAUAUGACCACUAUUCGUACACUUCUUGCUGUUGCCUCUGCACGCCACUGGUCUAUAUCUCAGCUUGAUGUUAAGAAUGUCUUUCUUAAUGGUGAGCUGCGUGAGGAGGUGUACAUGCAGCCACCACCUGGGUAUUCUGUUCCUGAUGGCAUGGUGUGUCGUCUUCGUCGCUCUCUCUAUGGCCUUAAGCAAGCCCCUCGUGCCUGGUUUGAGCGUUUUGCUUCUGUGGUCACUACUGCUGGUUUUUCAGCAAGUGCUCAUGAUCCCGCAUUGUUUAUUCACCUUUCUCCUCGUGGCCGGACUCUUCUUCUUCUCUAUGUUGAUGAUAUGGUCAUCACUGGGGAUGACCCCGAGUAUAUUGCCUUUGUAAAGGCUCGUCUUAGUGAGCAGUUUCUUAUGUCUGAUCUUGGACCUCUUCGCUACUUUCUUGGGAUUGAAGUCUCUUCUACCUCUGAUGGCUUUUUUAUAUCCCAGGAAAAGUAUAUCCAGGAUCUUCUUGCUCGUGCUGCUCUUUCCGACGAGCGCACUGUUGAGACUCCUAUGGAGCUCAAUGUUCACCUCCGUGCUACUGAUGGUGAUCCUCUCCCUGACCCGACGCGUUAUCGUCAUCUCGUUGGCAGUCUAGUCUAUCUAGCUGUCACUCGUCCGGACAUCUCUUAUCCGGUUCAUAUUCUGAGUCAGUUUGUCUCUGCUCCCACAUCGGUUCAUUAUAGUCAUCUCCUUCGUGUUCUCCGAUAUCUUCGGGGCACGAUCUCUCAUCGUCUCUUCUUUCCUAGCUCCAGCUCUUUACAGCUUCAGGCCUAUGCGGAUGCUACGUGGGCUAGUGAUCCUUUUGAUCGCCGUUCGCUUUCUGCUUACUGUGUUUUUCUUGGCGGAUCUCUCAUUGCCUGGAAGACGAAGAAACAGAUUGCAGUUUCCCGUUCGAGUGCUGAGGCUGAGUUGCGAGCUAUGGCUCUUUUGACGGCAGAGGUGACUUGGUUACGGUGGUUACUUCAGGAUUUUGGUGUUUCUGUCACUACACCGACUAUGCUCUUAUCUGACAGUACAGGUGCUAUUAGCAUUGCGCGCGAUCCUGUGAAGCAUGAGCUCACCAAGCAUAUUGGUGUUGAUGCUUUCUAUGUGCGCGCUGGUGUGCAGGAUCAGGUUAUUGCUCUUCAGUAUGUGCCUUCCGAGUUACAGUUGGCGGAUUUCCUGACGAAGGCCCAGACUAGAGCACAACAUGGCUUUUAUCUCUCCAAACUCAGUGUUGUUCCUCCACCAUGAGUUUGAGGGGGGGUGUUAGAGUUAUAAUAUAAGUCAUGUAUACCCCUUUGUAUUUAUCCCGUAGUAUAAGGGGUUUCCUGCAUAUGUACCACACCUGUACAUGUAUAUAUAUCGGCCUAUGGCCUCAUGGGAAUACAAGUUGCUUAUUCCUAACAGGAAGGAUAUAUUAUGCCCAUCCAGCAAGUGGACAAAAAUACUAUAUGCGAAUGCUACUUAACGUCAAGAAAGGAUGCACAUGUUUUGAAGACAUAAGAACAGUUAAUGGAGUUGUCCACGCAUCAUACAAAUCUGCUUGUGAAGCACUAGGAUUUCUUGAUGAUGACAAAGAGUGGCUUGAGUGCAUCAAGGAGGCAUCAAAUUGGGCGACUGGCAACCAGCUAAGGUAGCUAUUCACAACAAUUUUAAGCCACUGCGAAGUCACAAGCCCAAAAAAACUGUGGGAAUCAUGCUCGGAGGUAUUAAGCGAAGACAUGGAGUACAAACAGAGAAAAUUAUUGAACUAUCCUACACUAUGCCUCACAGCAUCACAGAAGCAAGGACACGCCUUGGUGGAAAUAGAGAAGCUCAUGAGACAAGCUGGAAGAACACUUAAGGAAUACCCCAGAAUAGAACUUCCAAAUUCUUCGGAAAUAAAGGAACUUGGAAACAAGCUACUAAAUGAAGAAAUUAAUUACGACAAAGAGCAGCAAAGAGAAGAGCAUUUGAAGAUCUUUGGUAGUCUCAACUAUGAACAACGUCUUGCAUUUGACACAAUAAUGGAAUCUGUUGACAAUGAUUUUGGAAAACAAAUUUUUGUGGACGGAUAUGGUGGGACAGGUAAGACAUACCUAUGGAAGGCGAUCACAACAAAGUUGCAUUCUGAAGGGAAGAUAGUACUAGCAGUUGCAUCAUCUGGUAUUGCAGCACUGCUUCUAGAAGGAGGGAGAACAACACACUCGAGGUUCCACAUUCCACUAAUCCUUACAGAAGAGUCAACAUGUGACAUCAAACAGGGUUCACACUUGGCACAACUACUAAAAAAGACGUCGCUAAUACUAUGGGAUGAAGCUCCAAUGGCAAACAAGAUAUGUUUUGAGGCGCUAGAUAGGACUCUAAGGGAUAUAUUAAGACAUAAGAGUGAGAACAGCAGCGACAGGCCAUUCGGUGGCAUGACAAUGGUUCUAGGAGGGGACUUCCGCCAGAUCCUUCCUGUUAUACCAAAGGGAAGAAGACACAACAUAGUCACUGCAUCCAUUAAAAUAUCUUACCUUUGGAAGAACUUUCAGGUAAUGAAGCUAACAAAGAACAUGCGGCUGAACUGCACAACAAAUGAUGAAUCCGAGAAACAAAAGAUAGCAGAAUUUGCAGAGUGGAUUCUCAAUAUCGGCGAUGGAAAAAAUACAUCAUCAGAAGGUGAGGAAUUGAUAAAAAUACCAAAUGACAUACUUCUCAAGAAAGGAAAUGAUCCCAAAAAUACAGUUGUGGAGAGCAUAUAUCCCAAUUUGCAGGAGAGGUAUCGCCAACGAGAAUACUUAGAAGAAAGAGCAAUAUUAUGUCCAAGAAAUGAAACAGUUCACGAUAUAAAUGAGUAUAUAAUGGAUCAGAUACAAGGUGAAGAGAAAACUUAUCUAAGCUGUGACACAGUAUGCAAAGCAACUACCUUCAAUGCAGAAACAGAAUUAUUAUAUCCAACGGAAUUCCUGAAUAGCUUACCAUUUCCUGGAAUCCCAAAUCACGAGCUGAAAUUAAAAGUCGGCAUACCUGUGAUGCUACUACGUAAUAUCAACCAAAGUGCUGGUUAUGCAAUGGUACAAGGAUGACGAUUACUCAGCUUGGAAGAAGAUUCAUUGAAGCACAGAUAAUAACUGGAACCCAUGUGGGAGAAAAGGUAUAUGUUCCAAGAAUAGUGAUGUAACCAACUGAAUCAGCGUGGCCAUUUGUUCUAAAAAGGCGACAAUAUCCUAUAUCAGUUUGCUUUGCUAUGACUAUCAACAAGAGCCAGGGACAAUCUCUAAAUAGAGUAGGACUAUAUCUGCCUAAACAAGUUUUCACACAUGGACAGUUAUACGUAGCCUUCUCAAGAGUAACAAAAAGGGAGGGACUGCGGGUAAUGGUAGAUGAUGAAGAUAGCAAUGAGGAUGAUGUGGUCAAGAACAUAGUCUAUACAGAGAUAUUCUGAAGGUAUGAACAAAUAACAGAAUUUCAGCAUGAUGUUUCUUUAACUAGAUGAGGCAUUACUAUUACGUAAGAAUUACAUAUAUAGGAACUUACUACACUGCAAAAUCUAUUACAAAUAGAGUCUGACUUAACUAUGCUAACAUGAUAUGGCAGGUCAAAUAUGGUCUACUACACUGCCAAAGUAAUGCAAACAUGCAUCAACAGGUGGAAAUACUACAUUACUACCAAACAUCAAAGAUCUAUAUUAUGUAAUACUUGAUUCUAUAAGCUUAUUAUAUUUCAUAAAAACAAAUAGAAAAAGCAUCGGGACGUUGUAAUAUUGCAUAUGUACAAUGCUAUCAGACCUGUUUUCAUAUUCAGCUAUUAUCUAUUAAUUUUUGUACGCGUCGAAACGGUUCAUUACUACCAAACAAUGACAAAAUAUAUUAUCUAAAGUUUUAUUGUACGAGCUUAAUAUUUCAUGCAAACCAAUAGUGAAAGCAUGGGAAAAUUAUUAUAAUUCGUAUUAAUAUGCAAUCAGACUGGUUUCCAUAUUAAAUACAGUAUACUCUGGGAAAUAUUUCAACUAUAGCCAAUCAAAACUCUACAAAUUCUUUGAUAAGUGUGUUCAAUAUUAGCAGGGGUAGGGGGGUCUAACACUGCCAAUGCCGGUCCCAAGCCCGGAAAAAAGUGGAGGGGGCCAAAAACAAACUAACACUACACCUCACAUAUUGAAUGUAAUAACGUCUUAUAUUAUGGGAGAGAGGGAGUAUUUCGCAUUCACAAAAUACUAUCAUCAACCAAAAAAAAGAACAGCCAGUAUACAUGAUCAUGCAAUGAAUAUAUAUAGUACUAAUUUCCACUGGUGUGUCUACCCAAAUAUAUAAUUACAUUACUUAAUUUCUAUUUUUUGGCGGGAUACUUACAUUACAUAUUACUAUCUACACUGUACCAAAUUAAACACUUGAAGAUCACUUAAAAGAGAAAACUAUGCUAACGUGAUACAAGCAACUGUUGGUACCGCUGAGCAAAUGUAUUUUUUUUUACCAAUGAAAACGUGAGUUUUAUUCCACUGAAAUAGGAUUACAGUCGCUAAGACAAAUUCCGAAGCAGAGUUUGCUACAGAUCGCACCCAACGAGUAGUGCUACCCCAGAAUGGCCAAAAUUAGAAAACCAUAUUUUCAUUGAGCCCACGUAUCUUAAUUUAAGUAAAUCAAACGCUUGGGGAAGAAAACAACACUACCAUCCUCAUACUAAAGCUAGAUCCAAGAAAAUUGCAGACCUGCGGGAGAUGAAAUCCAUGACCGAAUCAGUUGCACAGAAGACAACAUCAACGGCACUGUGCAGAUCAACAAUCUCGCCUACUCCCUGUCGCAACAGAUCCUUGGGACAUGAUACCCCUCCGCCGCCAUUUACCAACCUACAGCAGGUGUAUGAGGAGGAAAACUAGCCGCCGUCGAUGGUCUCCCUGUGGAAGCACCAGGUGCGGGGGUGGACUCAGGUUA
RNAcentral lists this long non-coding RNA (19281 nucleotides) under Triticum aestivum (bread wheat). Its description in RNAcentral is "long non-coding RNA (TAES_LNC000543)". The record is from RNAcentral. Lineage: Eukaryota; Viridiplantae; Streptophyta; Magnoliopsida; Poales; Poaceae.